RNAcentral lists this long non-coding RNA (393 nucleotides) under Elaeis guineensis (African oil palm). Its description in RNAcentral is "long non-coding RNA (EGUI_LNC064038)". Lineage: Eukaryota; Viridiplantae; Streptophyta; Magnoliopsida; Arecales; Arecaceae. The record is from RNAcentral.
GGGUACCAUUGCUAGAUGGUCACUUCGAUUGGUACAGAAAUUUAUUCCUGUGCUACCGACUUAGGUUUGGACCUAUGAGGUCACACACAUUAGAGUUCAUGAUCCGAUCAGAUGGUUGAUCAAUAAUUAAGAAUCGUUCUAAGGUUAAAUGAUCAAUACGAUUGACAUUUAACCCAGUGCAAGUGUUGCAGGAGGAUCGAUUAGCAAUUCGAUUGCUAAUUGGCUUAAUUUGAUUAAACCAAUGAGCUUAGAUUAAGUCUAAUUAAAUAUGAUUUAAUUAGAUUUGGUUUGGGCUUGAUUGGAUCAAGUCCAAUUGGUUUAUUGGAUAAGCCAAGUGCAAGGAAAAACUAGUCCUAGUUCAACUAGGACUUGGGUCAAUCUAAUUUCUAAUUU